Molecule: ribosomal RNA, 445 nt
Filed under: uncultured bacterium
Lineage: Bacteria
Description: partial 16S ribosomal RNA
Rfam family: Bacterial small subunit ribosomal RNA
Source: RNAcentral
GUGAGGAAUAUUGGACAAUGGGCGCAAGCCUGAUCCAGCCAUGCCGCGUGCAGGAAGACGCAUCUAUGGUGUGUAAACUGCUUUUGUACGGGAAGAAACACUCCCUCGUGAGGGAGCUUGACGGUACCGUAAGAAUAAGGAUCGGCUAACUCCGUGCCAGCAGCCGCGGUAAUACGGAGGAUCCAAGCGUUAUCCGGAAUCAUUGGGUUUAAAGGGUCCGUAGGCGGUUUAAUAAGUCAGUGGUGAAAGCCCAUCGCUCAACGAUGGAACGGCCAUUGAUACUGUUAGACUUGAAUUACAAGGAAGUAACUAGAAUAUGUAGGGUAGCGGUGAAAUGCUUAGAUAUUACAUGGAAUACCAAUUGCGAAGGCAGGUUACUACUGGUGGAUUGACGCUGAUGGACGAAAGCGUGGGGAGCGAACAGGAUUAGAAACCCGGGUAGUCC